AAUCAAACCUAAGAGUUUGAUCCUGGCUCAGAGCGAACGCUGGCGGCAGGCUUAACACAUGCAAGUCGAAGGUGAAGUUAGACUUCGGUCUAACAGAAACUGGCGCACGGGUGAGUAACGCGUGGGGAUAUGCCCAAAGGUACGGAAUAACCGUUGGAAACGGCGGCUAAUACCGUAUGCUCCCUCAGGGGAAAAGCUUCGGCGCCUUUGGAUUAUCCCGCGUCCGAUUAGCUUGUUGGUGAGGUAAAGGCUCACCAAGGCUCCGAUCGGUAGCUGGUCUGAGAGGACGAUCAGCCACACUGGGACUGAGACACGGCCCAGACUCCUACGGGAGGCAGCAG
This 341-nucleotide ribosomal RNA is filed under the name Rhodospirillales bacterium. RNAcentral's name for it is "bacterial SSU rRNA". It matches the Rfam family "Bacterial small subunit ribosomal RNA", at positions 1 to 354 of the family's 1533-position model. Lineage: Bacteria; Pseudomonadati; Pseudomonadota; Alphaproteobacteria; Rhodospirillales. The record is from RNAcentral.